This 69-nucleotide antisense RNA is filed under the name Kibdelosporangium phytohabitans. RNAcentral describes it as "Kibdelosporangium sp. KLBMP 1111 ASpks TB sRNA". It matches the Rfam family "ASpks TB sRNA". Lineage: Bacteria; Bacillati; Actinomycetota; Actinomycetes; Pseudonocardiales; Pseudonocardiaceae. The record is from Rfam by way of RNAcentral.
CUUCACCGAUCCCAGCCACACCGGCCGGUCACGGUCCUGCCCGUAGGUCGCCAGCAGUGCCUGUGCUUC